RNAcentral lists this long non-coding RNA (848 nucleotides) under Aquilegia coerulea. RNAcentral describes it as "long non-coding RNA (ACOE_LNC001830)". Lineage: Eukaryota; Viridiplantae; Streptophyta; Magnoliopsida; Ranunculales; Ranunculaceae. The record is from RNAcentral.
CCAUCACCAUCGGGUAGAUGUUGUUUGAGUGCGGAGGCCGACCCAAACCGCCGAUGUUGGUCGUGCCCAUCACCUUCUGGCAGAUGUUGUUUGAGUGUGGACAUCAGUGUUACUGAGGCGGCAGACCCAAACCGUCGAUGUUGGUCAUGCCCAUCGCCUUCGGGUAGGUGUUGCUUGAGUGCGGAGGCAGACCCAAAUCGACAAUGUUGGUCGUGCCCAUCGCCUUCAGGUAGGUGUUGCUUGAAUGCAGACGUCAAUGUUACCGAUGCAGACCUAAACCGUCGGUGUUGGUCAUGCCCAUCGCCUUCGGGCAGGUGUUGUUUGAGUGCGGAAGCAGACCCAAACCGCCAGUGUUGGUCAUGCCCAUCACCUUCUGGUAGAUGUUGCUUGAGCGUGGACACCAGUGUUACUGAGGCAGACCCAAAUCGUCGGUGUUGGUCAUGUCCAUCUCCUUCGGGUAGGUGUUGCUUGAGUGCAGAGGCGGACCCAAAUCGCCAAUGUUGGUCGUGCCCAUCGCCUUCGGGUAGGUGCUGCUUGAGUGUGGAUACAAGUGUUACCAAUGUAGACCCAAACCGUCGAUGUUGGUCAUGCCCAUCACCUUCAGGCAGGUGUUGCUUGAGUGCAGAAGCAGACCCAAACCGCCAGUGUUGGUCAUGCCCGUCACCUUCAGGUAGGUGUUGCUUGAAUGCAGACAUCAGUGUUAUAGAGGCAGCAGACCCAAACCGCCGGUGUUGGUCAUGCCCAUCACCUUCCGGCAGGUGUUGCUUGAGUGCAGAAGCAGACCCAAACCGCCAAUGCUGGUCGUGCCCAUCGCCUUCAGGCAGGUGUUGCUUGAAUGUGGAUGUCAA